This 2051-nucleotide ribosomal RNA is filed under the name Pseudomonas aeruginosa. Its description in RNAcentral is "bacterial LSU rRNA". It matches the Rfam family "Bacterial large subunit ribosomal RNA", at positions 895 to 2925 of the family's 2925-position model. Lineage: Bacteria; Pseudomonadati; Pseudomonadota; Gammaproteobacteria; Pseudomonadales; Pseudomonadaceae. The record is from RNAcentral.
CUGGGGGGUAGAGCACUGUUUCGGCUAGGGGGUCAUCCCGACUUACCAAACCGAUGCAAACUCCGAAUACCCAGAAGUGCCGAGCAUGGGAGACACACGGCGGGUGCUAACGUCCGUCGUGAAAAGGGAAACAACCCAGACCGCCAGCUAAGGUCCCAAAGUUGUGGUUAAGUGGUAAACGAUGUGGGAAGGCUUAGACAGCUAGGAGGUUGGCUUAGAAGCAGCCAUCCUUUAAAGAAAGCGUAAUAGCUCACUAGUCGAGUCGGCCUGCGCGGAAGAUGUAACGGGGCUCAAACCACACACCGAAGCUGCGGGUGUCACGUAAGUGACGCGGUAGAGGAGCGUUCUGUAAGCCUGUGAAGGUGAGUUGAGAAGCUUGCUGGAGGUAUCAGAAGUGCGAAUGCUGACAUGAGUAACGACAAUGGGUGUGAAAAACACCCACGCCGAAAGACCAAGGGUUCCUGCGCAACGUUAAUCGACGCAGGGUUAGUCGGUUCCUAAGGCGAGGCUGAAAAGCGUAGUCGAUGGGAAACAGGUUAAUAUUCCUGUACUUCUGGUUACUGCGAUGGAGGGACGGAGAAGGCUAGGCCAGCUUGGCGUUGGUUGUCCAAGUUUAAGGUGGUAGGCUGAAAUCUUAGGUAAAUCCGGGGUUUCAAGGCCGAGAGCUGAUGACGAGUCGUCUUUUAGAUGACGAAGUGGUUGAUGCCAUGCUUCCAAGAAAAGCUUCUAAGCUUCAGGUAACCAGGAACCGUACCCCAAACCGACACAGGUGGUCGGGUAGAGAAUACCAAGGCGCUUGAGAGAACUCGGGUGAAGGAACUAGGCAAAAUGGCACCGUAACUUCGGGAGAAGGUGCGCCGGCUAGGGUGAAGGAUUUACUCCGUAAGCUCUGGCUGGUCGAAGAUACCAGGCCGCUGCGACUGUUUAUUAAAAACACAGCACUCUGCAAACACGAAAGUGGACGUAUAGGGUGUGACGCCUGCCCGGUGCCGGAAGGUUAAUUGAUGGGGUUAGCGCAAGCGAAGCUCUUGAUCGAAGCCCCGGUAAACGGCGGCCGUAACUAUAACGGUCCUAAGGUAGCGAAAUUCCUUGUCGGGUAAGUUCCGACCUGCACGAAUGGCGUAACGAUGGCGGCGCUGUCUCCACCCGAGACUCAGUGAAAUUGAAAUCGCUGUGAAGAUGCAGUGUAUCCGCGGCUAGACGGAAAGACCCCGUGAACCUUUACUGUAGCUUUGCACUGGACUUUGAGCCUGCUUGUGUAGGAUAGGUGGGAGGCUUUGAAGCGUGGACGCCAGUUCGCGUGGAGCCAUCCUUGAAAUACCACCCUGGCAUGCUUGAGGUUCUAACUCUGGUCCGUGAUCCGGAUCGAGGACAGUGUAUGGUGGGCAGUUUGACUGGGGCGGUCUCCUCCUAAAGAGUAACGGAGGAGUACGAAGGUGCGCUCAGACCGGUCGGAAAUCGGUCGCAGAGUAUAAAGGCAAAAGCGCGCUUGACUGCGAGACAGACACGUCGAGCAGGUACGAAAGUAGGUCUUAGUGAUCCGGUGGUUCUGUAUGGAAGGGCCAUCGCUCAACGGAUAAAAGGUACUCCGGGGAUAACAGGCUGAUACCGCCCAAGAGUUCAUAUCGACGGCGGUGUUUGGCACCUCGAUGUCGGCUCAUCACAUCCUGGGGCUGAAGCCGGUCCCAAGGGUAUGGCUGUUCGCCAUUUAAAGUGGUACGCGAGCUGGGUUUAGAACGUCGUGAGACAGUUCGGUCCCUAUCUGCCGUGGACGUUUGAGAUUUGAGAGGGGCUGCUCCUAGUACGAGAGGACCGGAGUGGACGAACCUCUGGUGUUCCGGUUGUCACGCCAGUGGCAUUGCCGGGUAGCUAUGUUCGGAAAAGAUAACCGCUGAAAGCAUCUAAGCGGGAAACUUGCCUCAAGAUGAGAUCUCACUGGGAACUUGAUUCCCCUGAAGGGCCGUCGAAGACUACGACGUUGAUAGGCUGGGUGUGUAAGCGUUGUGAGGCGUUGAGCUAACCAGUACUAAUUGCCCGUGAGGCUUGACCAU